GACGAACGCUGGCGGCGUGCUUAACACAUGCAAGUCGUACGGUAAGGCCCUUUCGGGGGUACACGAGUGGCGAACGGGUGAGUAACACGUGAGUAACCUGCCCACAACUUUGGGAUAACGCUAGGAAACUGGUGCUAAUACUGGAUAUGUGCUCCUGCUGCAUGGUGGGGGUUGGAAAGCUCCGGCGGUUGUGGAUGGACUCGCGGCCUAUCAGCUUGUUGGUGGGGUAGUGGCCUACCAAGGGGGCGACGGGUAGCCGGCCUGAGAGGGUGACCGGCCACCUUGGGACUGAGAUACGGCCCAGACUCCUACGGGAGGCAGCAGUGGGGAAUAUUGCACAAUGGGCGCAAGCCUGAUGCAGCAACGCCGCGUGCGGGAUGACGGCCUUCGGGUUGUAAACCGCUUUCAGCAGGGACGAAGCUUUUUGUGACGGUACCUGCAGAAGAAGCACCGGCUAACUACGUG
Molecule: ribosomal RNA, 465 nt
Filed under: uncultured bacterium
Lineage: Bacteria
Description: partial 16S ribosomal RNA
Rfam family: Bacterial small subunit ribosomal RNA
Source: RNAcentral